Molecule: ribosomal RNA, 489 nt
Filed under: Aplocheilus panchax (blue panchax)
Lineage: Eukaryota; Metazoa; Chordata; Actinopteri; Cyprinodontiformes; Aplocheilidae
Description: partial 16S ribosomal RNA
Rfam family: Bacterial large subunit ribosomal RNA
Source: RNAcentral
UCAACCAAACAUAGGAGGUCCCGCCUGCCCUGUGACAUUAUGUUUAACGGCCGCGGUAUUCUAACCGUGCAAAGGUAGCGCAAUCACUUGUCUUUUAAAUGAAGACCUGUAUGAAUGGCAUAACGAGGGCUAAACUGUCUCCUCCUUCCAGUCAAUGAAAUUGAUCUCCCCGUGCAGAAGCGGGGAUAUGUCCAUAAGACGAGAAGACCCUAUGGAGCUUAAAACGAAAGAGCAGACCAUGUUAAUACACCUUAAUCAAGAGACCAAACUAAUUGAAACCUGCUCUAGUGUUUUCGGUUGGGGCGACCACGGAGCACAAUAAAACCCCCGUGCGGAAUAAAUGUACUACAUUUUAAAUCAAGAGCAACAGCUCUAAAUAACAGAACUUCUGACCCACAAGAUCCGGCCAGACCGAUCAACGAACCAAGUUACCCUAGGGAUAACAGCGCAAUCCCCUUCUAGAGCCCACAUCGACAAGGGGGUUUACGA